RNAcentral lists this ribosomal RNA (384 nucleotides) under uncultured bacterium. RNAcentral's name for it is "bacterial SSU rRNA". It matches the Rfam family "Bacterial small subunit ribosomal RNA", at positions 28 to 402 of the family's 1533-position model. The record is from RNAcentral.
GAUGAACGCUGGCGGCGUGCAUAACACAUUCAAGUCGAGCGGAGCUUAGUGAGCAGCAAUGCGAAUUAAGCUUAGUGGCGGACGGGUGAGUAACGCGUGAGCAACCUGCCUUUCAAAGCGGGAUAACGUCUGGAAACGGACGCUAAUACCGCAUGACGCACAGACACCGCAUGAUGACUGUGCCAAAGGGAACCUGAUGAAAGAUGGGCUCGCGUCUGAUUAGAUAGUUGGUGGGGUAACGGCUCACCAAGUCUACGAUCAGUAGCCGGACUGAGAGGUUGAACGGGCCACAUUGGAACUGAGAUACGGUCCAGACUCCUACGGGAGGCAGCAGUGGGGAAUAGUUGGGCAAGUGGGCGAAAGCCUGACCCAGCGACGCCGCGU